UACGUAGGUGGCAAGCGUUGUCCGGAAUUAUUGGGCGUAAAGCGCGUGUAGGCGGCUGAGUAAGUCUGCUCUGAAAGCCCGGGGCUCAACCCCGGGAGGCGGGUGGAUACUGCUCAGCUCGAGUCCGGAAGAGGAGUGUGGAAUUCCUGGUGUAGCGGUGAAAUGCGCAGAUAUCGGGAAGAACACCCGUGGCGAAGGCGGCUCUCUGGGACGGUACUGACGCUGAGACGCGAAAGCGUGGGGAGCGAACAGG
RNAcentral lists this ribosomal RNA (253 nucleotides) under uncultured bacterium. RNAcentral describes it as "partial 16S ribosomal RNA". It matches the Rfam family "Bacterial small subunit ribosomal RNA", at positions 524 to 776 of the family's 1533-position model. The record is from RNAcentral.